Molecule: long non-coding RNA, 948 nt
Filed under: Junco hyemalis (dark-eyed junco)
Lineage: Eukaryota; Metazoa; Chordata; Aves; Passeriformes; Passerellidae
Description: lncRNA (ENSJHYG00000004411.1)
Source: RNAcentral
AACAAAUCUCACUUUAUGGAGAGAAAAUUAAUCCAUAUGAAUAACUAAGUUAUGUCAGUGUUUCAACACAAAAUCUGCAUAAAUAUUUGACUGGUAAUAGUGUUCAUUCAUGUGAUACUUCAUGCUCCUCAGUUUCCCUUUGUCAGGCUCAUCCUUAUGUAAGCUUUCAGGCACCCUGAGAUGGUGCAUUCCAGAGUUAGCAGAAGUGUGCAUGCCACAACUAGAGCAGUGGAUGGGAAGAGGUUGCCUAGAAUUGCCUCCUAAUUUCGUUUCCUCUCCCCACCAAGGGGUAAUUGCUGAACCACCAACAGCUAAAUAGAUCCAUCAACAGAUGCCAAGGCUGCUGCCAGGCUUCGGUCUUGUCUUUCCCAGUAGGGGCCACUACAGAGCAUCAAAUAGCAAGGAAGACUGGGAAGAGAGAAUUGAGUACAGCAUAACAGAAGGAACCAGGAAAAGGCAUCAUGCAGAUGGAAUGUCUUCCAGCUCAGAAGAGAAACUCAUUAUGUUUUCACUUCAUGGCAUGGUGAGUAGCAUGAUGAGGAAUAUUGCUCCUAGUUGAAACAUGGAUACACCAAUGGUGGUAGAGGAUCUGAAAUGCCUGGAGGGAGAGCUCUCAUUACACCAGCAAAGAAAGAAGUCAUAGGAAAGGAAGAAGGUAGAAUUUGACUGUUCUCAGAAUUUUACACUCCUCUCCUUCACUACCUUACUUUAAAGCUCUUUUAUUCAGAAGGUAUAUUUCUUUUUUUGAUUCAGGUCUGAUCUUUGAGGUUUUCAAGCCUUUUUGAGUCCUGCCACAUCUGUUUCCUUUCUAUUUAUUAUACAUAUUCUUUCUUUUUUUUUUUCUCCACCCAGUUCUCAUAUUUAUAGACUGAAUCCUUCAAGAUGUUUUCUUCCCUUCCUCCACCCAACUCUGGGUGAGCUCUCUAAAUCCCAAGGAAACACUUCCUG